GUGUCCAUUCGGAUGUGGAGUUUGGAGAGGCCCUCCUUGUUUUCCAGGCUGUGAGCCAUGGGAAGCGUGUCAACCAUGUCAAACCAAAGGAUCAAGAAAUUGAAGAUUCCGUUCACUUGCCUUGGAGUUUGAGUUUGUGCUUUUGUGUUGUAUUUAAGAAAUUAUUGCCAACUUCAAGCUCACUUUCUGGCUUUGGAGGUAGAGAAUGAGGUCUGCAAUCCAAGGAAUCAGAAGCCUCUGGAGCUAGAAAAGAUUUACUCCUUAUGCUUCCAGAAAGGAAAACAGCCUUGGCAACACCUUCAUUUUAUCCCAAAUGAGAACCGUGUCAGACUUCUAACAUACAGAACUUUAAUAUAAUAAAUUUAUGUUGUUAUAAGCCACAAAGUUUGUGGUAAUUUGUUACAGCAACAGUAGAACUGUUUCUAAUUUUGGUUUCUGAUUUUCUUUUCUAGUAUAUAAAAAUAAAAUUGAUUUUUUUAUAGUGACCAUGUCUCUUUCAACCGUGAUAAACUUGUUAGCUCUAAUAGCUUUUUUGUAGACUUCUUUCUAAUAUGGAAGAUUUUAUUUCAUUUUCUUGACUUACUGUCUUGUCUAGAAUAUCUAGUAUAAUAUUGACUAGAAGUAGUAAGAGUGAGCAUCCUUAUUGCUUUCCUGAUUUGGGGGGAAAGCAUUCAGCCUCUCACCAUUAAAUGUUAGCUAUAGAUUUUUCUGUGUUAGCUAC
Long non-coding RNA from Homo sapiens (human), 721 nucleotides. Lineage: Eukaryota; Metazoa; Chordata; Mammalia; Primates; Hominidae. The record is from Ensembl.